GAUGAAGAACGUAGCGAAGUGCGAUAAGUAAUGUGAAUUGCAGAAUUCAGUGAAUCAUCGAAUCUUUGAACGCACAUUGCGCCCGCCAGUAUUCUGGCGGGCAUGCCUGUUCGAGCGUCAUUUCAACCAUCAAGCCCUGCUUGCGUUGGGGUCCUGCGGCUGCCCGCAGGCCCUGAAAACCAGUGGCGGGCUCGCUAGUCACACCGAGCGCAGUAAUACAUCUCGCUUUGGGCGUGCGGCGGGUUCUUGCCGUUAAACACCCCCUUUUUACCAAGGUUGACCUCGGAUCAGGUAGGAAUACCCGCUGAACUUAAGCAUAUCAAUAAGCGGAGGA
This 334-nucleotide unclassified non-coding RNA is filed under the name soil metagenome. RNAcentral describes it as "partial contains 5.8S ribosomal RNA, internal transcribed spacer 2, and large subunit ribosomal RNA". The stretch from base 1 to 120 matches the Rfam family "5.8S ribosomal RNA", at positions 35 to 154 of the family's 154-position model. The record is from RNAcentral.